RNAcentral lists this unclassified non-coding RNA (219 nucleotides) under Hevea brasiliensis (rubber tree). Lineage: Eukaryota; Viridiplantae; Streptophyta; Magnoliopsida; Malpighiales; Euphorbiaceae. The record is from RNAcentral.
GGCUUUGAGGCCAUACAGGUUGUCCAUGCUCUUCAGUGAGACCACUACCUUCUAAUUGUUCAGCUUCAACUUUGGUACCCUUUAGAAGGUCCUUGGCUUCGUUUAAGCAUUCCUUUUGUUUCUGAUCAUUCAAGUCGCGGCUAUGGGAGGAUUUUUCUUUACGUUCUUUGCUUUUAUGUUUCUUGUCCUUACUUCUCUCUUUCUUGUCCUUGCUCUUCU